Molecule: ribosomal RNA, 396 nt
Filed under: Triticum aestivum (bread wheat)
Lineage: Eukaryota; Viridiplantae; Streptophyta; Magnoliopsida; Poales; Poaceae
Description: partial small subunit ribosomal RNA
Source: RNAcentral
AUGGAGUUGGCCACGGUGGCGUUGCGAACACUCGUUCCCAAGCUAGGGCGCCUGCUCAUGGGGGAGUACAACCUGCAGAAGGGUCUGAAGAAGGGCAUCAGGGACCUAAUGGACGAGCUACUUGUCAUAGAAGCUGCACUUGUGAAGGUGUCUGAUGUGCCACUAGACCAGCUUGAUCCGCUGGUCAAAAUUUGGGCAAACGACGUCAGGGAGCUGUCCUUUGCCAUCGAGGACAGCCUCGACUCCAUGGUGCAUGUCGAGGGUGUUGUGCCGACCAAUCCACACACUCCAUGGUGCGUGUCGAGGGUGUUGUGCCGACCAAUCCACACACCUUCUUCGGGUUCAUCAAGAAGACCUGCAAGAAGGUCACUAAGCUUAAGACUCGCCAUGAAAUAG